This is a long non-coding RNA of Rhipicephalus sanguineus (brown dog tick), 149 nucleotides long. RefSeq lists it as uncharacterized. Lineage: Eukaryota; Metazoa; Arthropoda; Arachnida; Ixodida; Ixodidae. The transcript is spliced from 2 exons. The record is from RefSeq and is a predicted model, not a curated record.
ACGCUUUGUCGUUGGAUCCGAGCCCAUGGAGGAAGUUGGAGCUGUAGAGCUGUAUGUUUUUGGACAAAGUCAUCAAUUCCAUUGCUCUUCCUAUGCCAAGUGGCCAGGAUAAUGGUUGAAAUUGCUACAAUAAAGGUUAUGAUCAACAA